RNAcentral lists this ribosomal RNA (164 nucleotides) under uncultured bacterium. Its description in RNAcentral is "partial 16S ribosomal RNA". It matches the Rfam family "Bacterial small subunit ribosomal RNA", at positions 355 to 511 of the family's 1533-position model. The record is from RNAcentral.
UAGGGAAUCUUCGGCAAUGGACGAAAGUCUGACCGAGCAACGCCGCGUGAGUGAAGAAGGUUUUCGGAUCGUAAAACUCUGUUGUUAGAGAAGAACAAGGGUGAGAGUAACUGUUCACCCCUUGACGGUAUCUAGCCAGAAAGCCACGGCUAACUACGUGCCAG